ACCAUAGUCUUCAAAAUCAAGAGCAUCAUUACCGUUUGGAGGAAUAAGCGCGCCGUUAAAUACAUCUUCCAAUUGGUCUUCUAGACCCAUAUUUGUGGCAAUUCCGUAAAUUAAGCGCAAUAGUACAAGUCCAAUAAAAUUCGGGGUGCUUACAUCGUUUUUUUGGCUUCUCAGCAGCUGCCUUGAAUCUUCUAAUAUCAUGUUUUUUUUAACAAUUGGCGUCAUAUUUAUAUCCUUGCCGUUUAUUAUAUUUUGACUUGAAGUUGAACUACAACAAGUUACAAUUGCGACAACGGCAGUAAUCCAGAAAAUGAUGAGCAUCAUAUUAGUUUAAAUGUAAAAGUUGCUAUGUAGACUGAAACUUAAAGUCAAAUGUUCCCAUCUUAAUUUUGUGGGACGAGCUAUAUGCAUACGAUCAUAUACAUAUACAUAUACAUAUAUUUAUGUACAUAUAUCAUAUAAAGAAACCGGUUAAGAAAGGCAUGAUGAACUUCUUUCCUUUCCGUGAAAUUGCUGUGACACACUUUUUUGAUAAUCUAAUGAGAGCGGAACAUAUAAACGAACACUCUAAGCAGCUUGAGAUAUGACGAGCACAGCAGCGGUCAGUCCGACCGCAGUUUUCCUUGCUUCCUGACGCUCGCUGUUACUUCCAGUCUACUGGCUGGCUCGGCCCUAUUAGCCUUCUAGACCCAAUGCAAAAGAAUUGGCCAUCGCAAUGGCUACUGAUAAUGAUUUCACCAUUACGCCUAAUGCUCGUACAGUAGUGUAUUAUAGAGUGAGACCCGUUUUGCCACAGCAUAAUAGUAGCCGUGGAACUACCUACUUCUACCACUUAUCUCCGCACACUCUGGGUAAAUUGAACAUCUAAUUGUAUUAGGUGACUCUAAUCCUCCAUCACUAUCCUGGUGAUCAAUAUGUUUGUUUCACUAGAUUGCCACCUAUUACAAAAGCUAGGAAAAUGUAGCCGUGCUCCC
This is a long non-coding RNA of Drosophila erecta, 974 nucleotides long. RefSeq lists it as uncharacterized. The transcript has 2 exons. Lineage: Eukaryota; Metazoa; Arthropoda; Insecta; Diptera; Drosophilidae. The record is from RefSeq and is a predicted model, not a curated record.